This 23-nucleotide non-coding RNA is filed under the name Rattus norvegicus (Norway rat). Lineage: Eukaryota; Metazoa; Chordata; Mammalia; Rodentia; Muridae. The record is from RNAcentral.
CUUUGGUGAUGUGUCUUCUUCAU